Long non-coding RNA from Gallus gallus (chicken), 589 nucleotides. Lineage: Eukaryota; Metazoa; Chordata; Aves; Galliformes; Phasianidae. The record is from Ensembl.
CAAGAGCAAGAAGUCAAAGCAGUGCUCUCCACCUGAAUGACUGAGAGCAAUUAACCAGUCUUUAAUGGUGGACAAGAAGCACCUGGUCAGUGGGCUGGGACCUUCUUGGGGGCUCAGGUGUAGGCAGCUCAUGGUUAGCUCAUGGUUAAAGGAAGAACUGUGCACCUCCUGCUAGCUCCUGGUACUUCCUAGUGCUGAUGUUAGUGCUACAGUGCUGUUUUAGAAGACUGUCGCUUACGGGAAGGAUCUGACAAAGUUAGAUGAGUCCAAAGUUCUCAGGGCUUCAUUUUCCUGCAUGUGGGCUCCAUCCAAAAGUGCACAGGAAAGUGGCAUUUGAGAUUGAAGGAAGGAAAAAAGGCCUUUUCCCUGAGUCAUGCCUGAUCUGGAACCUACAAGGCUCUCACCUGCUCCUCUCCAGCUUCUCAACACUGUGCUAAGGGGAACUGAACAGCAGAACUCCUCUUGUCCUAACGCAUCAUCCCAUUGCACAAACCGCUAUGAGUGACAGAAAGCAAUUUGUUUAAUUGCACUGCAUUUUUAAUAUAGAUCCACAACAGAACUGUGUGCAAUACAUUAAUUUGUUUUCUAC